UACGUAGGGACCAAGCGUUGUCCGGAAUCAUUGGGCGUAAAGAGCGUGUAGGCGGCUUGUUAAGUCUUGCGUGAAAUCCCGGGGCUCAACCCCGAGCGGUCGUGAGAAACUGGCAGGCUAGAGUGCGGGAGAGGAGAGUGGAAUUCCUGGUGUAGCGGUGAAAUGCGCAGAUAUCAGGAAGAACACCCGUGGCGAAGGCGGCUCUCUGGAACGCAACUGACGCUGAGACGCGAAAGCGUGGGGAGCAAACAGG
This 253-nucleotide ribosomal RNA is filed under the name uncultured bacterium. RNAcentral describes it as "partial 16S ribosomal RNA". It matches the Rfam family "Bacterial small subunit ribosomal RNA", at positions 524 to 776 of the family's 1533-position model. The record is from RNAcentral.